Molecule: long non-coding RNA, 478 nt
Organism: Eutrema salsugineum
Lineage: Eukaryota; Viridiplantae; Streptophyta; Magnoliopsida; Brassicales; Brassicaceae
Exons: 2
Source: RefSeq, a predicted model, not a curated record
AUUUUAUCCCAGACAUGCUCUCUCUAAAACGGCGCUCUCUCUUCUCUCUCACCAUUUUUUUUUGCUUUUCAUUCUCUUUGUGAAGCUAUAGAGAAGCAUGGUUGCUGUACGAAGCUGUAGUGAAGGAGCUGAAGAAAGAAGAUUCAGGCGAGCUCAAGAUCUUAAGCGGUCGUGAAGGAGUAUUGAAGAAGAUGACUCAUCUUAGUCUCUUACCGAAUCUCGCCGCUCCUCACAGUCUCUGGUGUGAGAAAAAGUGAAGACAAAGCAUCCCCAGCUGCCAAAAACUCAAAACCUGUCUCACUCAGGUGGACCAAGCAGAGACGCUCCAGCAGGGCAGGUGUUACCGCAGAGGAAGACUAAUGAUGAUGCUUGUAUCACUGAACUAUACCAUUUACAUAGAAUUACUUUUGUAAUAUUUAAUUUCAUAUACAUAUAUAAUUGGAAUCUUUUUUACAAUCUUUCAGUCACCGUUAAAAAA